UGGGGAAUUUUGGACAAUGGGCGCAAGCCUGAUCCAGCCAUGCCGCGUGCGGGAAGAAGGCCUUCGGGUUGUAAACCGCUUUUGUCAGGGAAGAAAUCUUCUGAGUUAAUACCUCGGGAGGAUGACGGUACCUGAAGAAUAGGCACCGGCUAACUACGUGCCAGCAGCCGCGGUAAUACGUAGGGUGCAAGCGUUAAUCGGAAUUACUGGGCGUAAAGCGUGCGCAGGCGGUUUUGUAAGACAGAGGUGAAAUCCCCGGGCUCAACCUGGGAACUGCCUUUGUGACUGCAAGGCUUGAGUGCGGCAGAGGGGGAUGGAAUUCCGCGUGUAGCAGUGAAAUGCGUAGAUAUGCGGAGGAACACCGAUGGCGAAGGCAAUCCCCUGGGCCUGCACUGACGCUCAUGCACGAAAGCGUGGGGAGCAAACAGGAUUAGAUAGCCCUGGUAGUCCACGCCCUAAAACGAUGUCAACUGGUUGUUGGGAAGGUUCCUUCUCAGUAACGUAGCUAACGCGUGAAGUUGACCGCCUGGGGAGUACGGCCGCAAGGUUGAAAC
Molecule: ribosomal RNA, 554 nt
Filed under: uncultured bacterium
Lineage: Bacteria
Description: partial 16S ribosomal RNA
Rfam family: Bacterial small subunit ribosomal RNA
Source: RNAcentral